Armigeres subalbatus is the source of this 1939-nucleotide long non-coding RNA. RefSeq lists it as uncharacterized. The record is from RefSeq and is a predicted model, not a curated record. The transcript is spliced from 3 exons. Lineage: Eukaryota; Metazoa; Arthropoda; Insecta; Diptera; Culicidae.
UCAAAGUGAAAGUUGAAUGAUUAUCGAUUAGAAGGUUCCCCUGGGGGAACUUCCCCAAAACGGAAGUGACAAAUUACAUCCAGACCAUCCUAUACUAGACGGGUGCCAAGCCUAGCGGCACACAAUUGCGAAAUAGUUGAAAACCCCUUCCCGAGCAAUGCUACAAAAAGGAAGAGGUCAAGAUUGCAGUCGAUUGCAAACCGAAGAAAGUGAUUCGUCAUCGAGUGGCUUUGGCCAUUCCUUCCACAAUCCCGUUCAGGAUGCAUUUGCCAGAAAAAUCAGAAACCAAUUGGCAUAGUAAGCAAACCCAGUAUGAUUUGUUGGACAAGUAGCUAUCGCAAAGAUAGAAUCGGUUGUAUGAUUCGUGGCAUCUGCAGGCUGGAGGAUGGAGGCAACGAAAGAAGGCCAUUAAUAAAAACAAAUAUAUACAACACCCGGCUGACGAAAGAUCCACAAAAACAUGCGCUUCGUCGCUUCUUACCAAGCCCCUGCGCAACAAAAUUGCCCGGUUCGAGACACACCAGAAGAAGCGUAUGCGUCACCGUGUACAGGAAAAAAAUAUGGACACAGGGUUUUCUACGUGCCGAAAGUGUCCGCUGUAGAACAUGACAUCAUUGAAGUUGUUCCGAGACCAGGAAGCUUUCACAACAUUGUCAUCCAGGUCACAAAUCCUUCCGCACUUCCGCACAGAUAACCGACGCAACUAAGUUAGUGCAAAUAUCUAAAGGACCAAUGCAGUUCAACAUUUUUUGGUAUGUCAGCAAAGAAGAACUGGUCACAUACUGAGAGCAGCUACACAAAAAAAACAAUGAAUCUGCAAUGCAAAAGUGUGUAGAUACACCAAAACGGACAAAACAACAACGUCCCUUAGUUCAGGACACUAAAUUCUUCGAUUAUGAAGUAGAUUCGGAUGAAGAUUGGAAAAAGGAGGCACCGGACGAAUCGCUUCACGGCAGUGACGACACGGCAGAGGCUGACGUCAUUGAGGACAACAGUCCGGAAACCCAGAAGGCUAAUUUGAAAAUCAUGCAACAAGAAUUUGCUGCCGAAAGGAAAAAUAAAACGUAAAAAAUCAAAUCACGGCAAAUCGGUUGCUUGUGGGAGAACGGAGCCGGGGAUGAAUCAAAAUGUUCAGCUGUGAUUAGGGAGAUCCUCAAAACUCGAGCCAUGUUGUGCGAUCCAGAGGAACCCAUUUCGUUUACGGUGCAGAAAAAUGAGCAGGAAUCGAACAGUUCAUCACCGUCAAAAGAUAAGCAACAACCCGAGUGCUCUGAAUAGAAAGUUCCUAAAACAAAAAAGCAUUGGUCAAAUAUGGUUUGACAGACUUGGAAAUUCCCAUUAGAUGAGAGUUUACUUGAAAACUUUUAAUCGAAACUACAUACCUACAACAUUAAUUUUAAUGUGCAACCGACUCCUAGCUCAGCAUCAAUCGCAAAAACAUCUGUCGCUCCCGCCUCCAAAAUCACCAAAUUCACUCGAUAAAACUCCAAAGACGACAAACGGAAGCAGUUUGCACCGAAAUGCACGGAGCAGUUUGCCACCGCAUCGCCCUACACUUCAAGCUGAAAAUCUGCCGCGGCCGUCGCCUCACCAGUGGUCGCGACACUAGUGGCGUGUUCAACCGCUGAUAUCAGUGCCACUUGGCCGAACAUAAAUCAGACCACCAAGAGCAAUCUAACCAGCCAGCUUCAGACCAAAGAUGGCACCGCUAACAACACCACAAGCAACCAUAAGAGCAAUGCGAAUGUGCUGAAAUCGAUGGCGGUUGACUAUGACGCUGAACCACGGUGGACAACCGAUCAAGCCUGGCGAAAUUAUUGUUUUAUUGAUCAAUGGGUUUGAAAAUGUAUCAGUCCAGUAGAACUAAAUUGUACUAGGUAUGAAUGAACAUAUGAAUAUUCAUAUAUAAGUAGAAAUCCAUCUGAAUUGGUCUAUAGAA